UACGGCGGCCAUAGCGGCGGGGCUACACCCGGUCUCGUUUCGACCCCGGAAGUUAAGCCCGCCAGCGAUCCCGGGUGUACUGCCCUCCGAGAGGGGGC
Molecule: ribosomal RNA, 98 nt
Filed under: Thermococcus sp. M39
Lineage: Archaea; Methanobacteriati; Methanobacteriota; Thermococci; Thermococcales; Thermococcaceae
Source: RNAcentral